GGGGAUUUAGCUCAGUGGCACAGCGCCUGCCUGGCAAGCAAGAGGUCCUGAGUUCGAUCCCCAGUACCA
This 69-nucleotide transfer RNA is filed under the name Heterocephalus glaber (naked mole-rat). It matches the Rfam family "tRNA". From Rfam's summary of the family: Transfer RNA (tRNA) molecules are approximately 80 nucleotides in length. Their secondary structure includes four short double-helical elements and three loops (D, anti-codon, and T loops). Lineage: Eukaryota; Metazoa; Chordata; Mammalia; Rodentia; Bathyergidae. The record is from Rfam by way of RNAcentral.